RNAcentral lists this ribosomal RNA (2827 nucleotides) under Escherichia coli. Its description in RNAcentral is "23S ribosomal RNA". It matches the Rfam family "Bacterial large subunit ribosomal RNA". The record is from RNAcentral. Lineage: Bacteria; Pseudomonadati; Pseudomonadota; Gammaproteobacteria; Enterobacterales; Enterobacteriaceae.
GGUUAAGCGACUAAGCGUACACGGUGGAUGCCCUGGCAGUCAGAGGCGAUGAAGGACGUGCUAAUCUGCGAUAAGCGUCGGUAAGGUGAUAUGAACCGUUAUAACCGGCGAUUUCCGAAUGGGGAAACCCAGUGUGAUUCGUCACACUAUCAUUAACUGAAUCCAUAGGUUAAUGAGGCGAACCGGGGGAACUGAAACAUCUAAGUACCCCGAGGAAAAGAAAUCAACCGAGAUUCCCCCAGUAGCGGCGAGCGAACGGGGAGCAGCCCAGAGNNNNNNNNGUGAGCUCGAUGAGUAGGGCGGGACACGUGGUAUCCUGUCUGAAUAUGGGGGGACCAUCCUCCAAGGCUAAAUACUCCUGACUGACCGAUAGUGAACCAGUACCGUGAGGGAAAGGCGAAAAGAACCCCGGCGAGGGGAGUGAAAAAGAACCUGAAACCGUGUACGUACAAGCAGUGGGAGCCUCUUUUAUGGGGUGACUGCGUACCUUUUGUAUAAUGGGUCAGCGACUUAUAUUCUGUAGCAAGGUUAACCGAAUAGGGGAGCCGAAGGGAAACCGAGUCUUAACUGGGCGUUAAGUUGCAGGGUAUAGACCCGAAACCCGGUGAUCUAGCCAUGGGCAGGUUGAAGGUUGGGUAACACUAACUGGAGGACCGAACCGACUAAUGUUGAAAAAUUAGCGGAUGACUUGUGGCUGGGGGUGAAAGGCCAAUCAAACCGGGAGAUAGCUGGUUCUCCCCGAAAGCUAUUUAGGUAGCGCCUCGUGAAUUCAUCUCCGGGGGUAGAGCACUGUUUCGGCAAGGGGGUCAUCCCGACUUACCAACCCGAUGCAAACUGCGAAUACCGGAGAAUGUUAUCACGGGAGACACACGGCGGGUGCUAACGUCCGUCGUGAAGAGGGAAACAACCCAGACCGCCAGCUAAGGUCCCAAAGUCAUGGUUAAGUGGGAAACGAUGUGGGAAGGCCCAGACAGCCAGGAUGUUGGCUUAGAAGCAGCCAUCAUUUAAAGAAAGCGUAAUAGCUCACUGGUCGAGUCGGCCUGCGCGGAAGAUGUAACGGGGCUAAACCAUGCACCGAAGCUGCGGCAGCGACGCUUAUGCGUUGUUGGGUAGGGGAGCGUUCUGUAAGCCUGCGAAGGUGUGCUGUGAGGCAUGCUGGAGGUAUCAGAAGUGCGAAUGCUGACAUAAGUAACGAUAAAGCGGGUGAAAAGCCCGCUCGCCGGAAGACCAAGGGUUCCUGUCCAACGUUAAUCGGGGCAGGGUGAGUCGACCCCUAAGGCGAGGCCGAAAGGCGUAGUCGAUGGGAAACAGGUUAAUAUUCCUGUACUUGGUGUUACUGCGAAGGGGGGACGGAGAAGGCUAUGUUGGCCGGGCGACGGUUGUCCCGGUUUAAGCGUGUAGGCUGGUUUUCCAGGCAAAUCCGGAAAAUCAAGGCUGAGGCGUGAUGACGAGGCACUACGGUGCUGAAGCAACAAAUGCCCUGCUUCCAGGAAAAGCCUCUAAGCAUCAGGUAACAUCAAAUCGUACCCCAAACCGACACAGGUGGUCAGGUAGAGAAUACCAAGGCGCUUGAGAGAACUCGGGUGAAGGAACUAGGCAAAAUGGUGCCGUAACUUCGGGAGAAGGCACGCUGAUAUGUAGGUGAAGUCCCUCGCGGAUGGAGCUGAAAUCAGUCGAAGAUACCAGCUGGCUGCAACUGUUUAUUAAAAACACAGCACUGUGCAAACACGAAAGUGGACGUAUACGGUGUGACGCCUGCCCGGUGCCGGAAGGUUAAUUGAUGGGGUCAGCGCAAGCGAAGCUCUUGAUCGAAGCCCCGGUAAACGGCGGCCGUAACUAUAACGGUCCUAAGGUAGCGAAAUUCCUUGUCGGGUAAGUUCCGACCUGCACGAAUGGCGUAAUGAUGGCCAGGCUGUCUCCACCCGAGACUCAGUGAAAUUGAACUCGCUGUGAAGAUGCAGUGUACCCGCGGCAAGACGGAAAGACCCCGUGAACCUUUACUAUAGCUUGACACUGAACAUUGAGCCUUGAUGUGUAGGAUAGGUGGGAGGCUUUGAAGUGUGGACGCCAGUCUGCAUGGAGCCGACCUUGAAAUACCACCCUUUAAUGUUUGAUGUUCUAACGUUGACCCGUAAUCCGGGUUGCGGACAGUGUCUGGUGGGUAGUUUGACUGGGGCGGUCUCCUCCUAAAGAGUAACGGAGGAGCACGAAGGUUGGCUAAUCCUGGUCGGACAUCAGGAGGUUAGUGCAAUGGCAUAAGCCAGCUUGACUGCGAGCGUGACGGCGCGAGCAGGUGCGAAAGCAGGUCAUAGUGAUCCGGUGGUUCUGAAUGGAAGGGCCAUCGCUCAACGGAUAAAAGGUACUCCGGGGAUAACAGGCUGAUACCGCCCAAGAGUUCAUAUCGACGGCGGUGUUUGGCACCUCGAUGUCGGCUCAUCACAUCCUGGGGCUGAAGUAGGUCCCAAGGGUAUGGCUGUUCGCCAUUUAAAGUGGUACGCGAGCUGGGUUUAGAACGUCGUGAGACAGUUCGGUCCCUAUCUGCCGUGGGCGCUGGAGAACUGAGGGGGGCUGCUCCUAGUACGAGAGGACCGGAGUGGACGCAUCACUGGUGUUCGGGUUGUCAUGCCAAUGGCACUGCCCGGUAGCUAAAUGCGGAAGAGAUAAGUGCUGAAAGCAUCUAAGCACGAAACUUGCCCCGAGAUGAGUUCUCCCUGACCCUUUAAGGGUCCUGAAGGAACGUUGAAGACGACGACGUUGAUAGGCCGGGUGUGUAAGCGCAGCGAUGCGUUGAGCUAACCGGUACUAAUGAACCGUGAGGCUUAACCUU